This 461-nucleotide ribosomal RNA is filed under the name uncultured bacterium. RNAcentral's name for it is "bacterial SSU rRNA". It matches the Rfam family "Bacterial small subunit ribosomal RNA", at positions 32 to 521 of the family's 1533-position model. The record is from RNAcentral.
AAUCAACGCUGGCGGCGUGCCUAACACAUGCAAGUCGCACGAGAAAGGGGAGCAAUCCCUGAGUAAAGUGGCGCACGGGUGAGUAACACGUGACUAACCUACCCUCGAGUGGGGAAUAACCUAGAGAAAUCUGGGCUAAUACCGCAUAACACUUACGAGUCAAAGCAGCAAUGCGCUUGAGGAGGGGGUCGCGGCAGAUUAGCUAGUUGGCGGGGUAAUGGCCCACCAAGGCAAUGAUCUGUAUCCGGCCUGAGAGGGCGCACGGACACACUGGAACUGAAACACGGUCCAGACUCCUACGGGAGGCAGCAGUGGGGAAUUUUGCGCAAUGGGGGAAACCCUGACGCAGCAACGCCGCGUGGAGGAUGAAAUCCCUUGGGAUGUAAACUCCUUUCGAUAGGGAAGAUAAUGACGGUACCUAUAGAAGAAGCCCCGGCUAACUUCGUGCCAGCAGCCGCAGU